CACGGGGGGCCUACGGGAGGCAGCAGUAGGGAAUCUUCCGCAAUGGACGAAAGUCUGACGGAGCAACGCCGCGUGAGUGAUGAAGGCUUUCGGGUCGUAAAACUCUGUUGUUAGGGAAGAACAAGUGCUAGUUGAAUAAGCUGGCACCUUGACGGUACCUAACCAGAAAGCCACGGCUAACUACGUGCCAGCAGCCGCGGU
RNAcentral lists this ribosomal RNA (201 nucleotides) under uncultured bacterium. RNAcentral's name for it is "partial 16S ribosomal RNA". It matches the Rfam family "Bacterial small subunit ribosomal RNA", at positions 329 to 521 of the family's 1533-position model. The record is from RNAcentral.